Molecule: ribosomal RNA, 265 nt
Filed under: uncultured archaeon
Lineage: Archaea
Description: partial 16S ribosomal RNA
Rfam family: Archaeal small subunit ribosomal RNA
Source: RNAcentral
AGUCACUGACAUUAGAUACCCCCGUAGUCCAGGGUGUAAACGCUGCAGACUUGGUGUUGGAAGCCCUUUGGGGGCAUUCAGUGCCGGAGAGAAGUUGUUAAGUCUGCUACUUGGGGAGUACGUCCGCAAGGAUGAAACUUAAAGGAAUUGGCGGGGGAGCACCGCAACGGGAGGAGCGUGCGGUUUAAUUGGAUUCAACACCGUAAAACUCACCAGGGAAGACUGUUACAUGAAGGCCGAAAUGAAGACUCUGCUAGAUUUUCAG